AGAAAAGAAUUUUCUCUGUUUUUUUUUUUUGUUGUUUUUUUUGUCGUUUCUGUUGGUUCAAGUCUCAAAGAAGAAGACGAAAA
RNAcentral lists this non-coding RNA (83 nucleotides) under Lotharella globosa. The record is from RNAcentral. Lineage: Eukaryota; Cercozoa; Chlorarachniophyceae.